CNUGAUUAAUAGGGAUAGUUGGGGGCAUUAGUAUUCAGUUGCUAGAGGUGAAAUUCUUGGAUUUACUGAAGACUAACUACUGCGAAAGCAUUUGCCAAGGAUGUUUUCAUUAAUCAAGAACGAAGGUUAGGGGAUCGAAAACGAUCAGAUACCGUUGUAGUCUUAACAGUAAACUAUGCCGACUAGGGAUCGGGCGAACUCAAAUCUAUGUGUCGCUCGGCACCUUACGAGAAAUCAAAGUCUUCGGGUUCUGGGGGGAGUAUGGUCGCAAGGCUGAAACUUAAAGGAAUUGACGGAAGGGCACCACCAGGAGUGGAGCCUGCGGCUUAAUUUGACUCAACACGGGGAAACUCACCAGGUCCAGACAUGACUAGGAUUGACAGAUUGAUAGCUCUUUCAUGAUUUUAUGGGUGGUGGUGCAUGGCCGUUCCUAAUUGGUGGAAGUGAUUUGUCUGGUCACUUCCCGAUAACGAACGAGAGCUUAUCCUGCUAAAUAGCCAGGCCGGCUUUUGCUGGUCGCCGGCUUCUUUUUGAGGGACUGGAGGUUGCCCCUACCCCGGCUAACUUUGAGGCAAUAACAGGUCUGUGAUGCCCUUAGAUGUUUUGGGCCGCACGCGCGCUACACUGACAGAGCCAGCGAGUUUUUCACCUUGGCCGGAAGGUCUGUUUAACAUGAAUAACC
RNAcentral lists this ribosomal RNA (682 nucleotides) under uncultured Thelephoraceae. RNAcentral's name for it is "SSU rRNA". It matches the Rfam family "Eukaryotic small subunit ribosomal RNA", at positions 864 to 1560 of the family's 1831-position model. Lineage: Eukaryota; Fungi; Basidiomycota; Agaricomycetes; Thelephorales; Thelephoraceae. The record is from RNAcentral.